Molecule: ribosomal RNA, 553 nt
Filed under: uncultured bacterium
Lineage: Bacteria
Description: bacterial SSU rRNA
Rfam family: Bacterial small subunit ribosomal RNA
Source: RNAcentral
UAGGGAAUCUUCGGCAAUGGACGGAAGUCUGACCGAGCAACGCCGCGUGAGUGAAGAAGGUUUUCGGAUCGUAAAGCUCUGUUGUAAGAGAAGAACGAGUGUGAGAGUGGAAAGUUCACACUGUGACGGUAUCUUACCAGAAAGGGACGGCUAACUACGUGCCAGCAGCCGCGGUAAUAGGUGUUCCCCCGAGCGUUGUCCGGAUUUAUUGGGCUAAAGCGAGCGCAGGCGGUUAUUAGAUAAGUCUGAAGUUAAAGGCUGUGGCUUAACCAUAGUAGGCUUUGGAAACUGUUUAACUUGAGUGCAAGAGGGGAGAGUGGAAUUCCAUGUGUAGCGGUGAAAUGCGUAGAUAUAUGGAGGAACACCGGUGGCGAAAGCGGCUCUCUGGCUUGUAACUGACGCUGAGGCUCGAAAGCGUGGGGAGCAAACAGGAUUAGAUACCCUGGUAGUCCACGCUGUAAACGAUGAGUGCUAGGUGUUAGACCCUUUCCGGGGUUUAGUGCCGUAGCUAACGCAUUAAGCACUCCGCCUGGGGAGUACGACCGCAAGGUUG